GUUCUGGUGUGCAGAAGCGAAGUCGCCAGAGAAGUCGCUGGUCAGAGCAGUGACAUCUGCUCAAGCCAGAGAAAUCGACAAGCCAGGCCGCGGAAGCCAGAGCAGAGAAAUGCACCAAGUCAGAGAAGCAAAGCUCCGUGUCAGAGAAAUUGCGUGCGCCAGAGAAAUCACCCGCCAGAGCGGAGGAAGCGCCAGAGGAAUCAAGGCGCCAGAGGAGUCAAUAUGCCAGAGGGUAGAGAUACGUCAGAGGAAUCAAUACCAGAGAGGAACCCAUUCCGCUGACAAGAUCAGAGAAGUCAUCCGUUCCUCUGGCGAUAGCCAUUCCUCUGGCGAGAGCCGCGAUUUCCGCCCGAGUGGAGAUUACUUGCUGAGCGCGUCAUAGCUGGAGUUACCUUAUCAUCUACGAUUCUAUUCCUUUUAGAGUCCGGC
RNAcentral lists this long non-coding RNA (429 nucleotides) under Salvia miltiorrhiza (redroot sage). Its description in RNAcentral is "long non-coding RNA (SMIL_LNC010295)". Lineage: Eukaryota; Viridiplantae; Streptophyta; Magnoliopsida; Lamiales; Lamiaceae. The record is from RNAcentral.